This 424-nucleotide ribosomal RNA is filed under the name uncultured Bacteroidales bacterium. Its description in RNAcentral is "bacterial SSU rRNA". It matches the Rfam family "Bacterial small subunit ribosomal RNA", at positions 355 to 776 of the family's 1533-position model. The record is from RNAcentral. Lineage: Bacteria; Pseudomonadati; Bacteroidota; Bacteroidia; Bacteroidales.
UGAGGAAUAUUGGUCAAUGGCCGGAAGGCUGAACCAGCCAUCCCGCGUGCAGGAUGACGGCCCUAUGGGUUGUAAACUGCUUUUGUACCUGAAGAAUAGGCCCAACGUGUUGGGAUUUGCCGGUAAGGUAUGAAUAAGCAUCGGCUAACUCCGUGCCAGCAGCCGCGGUAAUACGGAGGAUGCGAGCGUUAUCCGGAUUCAUUGGGUUUAAAGGGUGCGCAGGUGGGAAAAUAAGUCAGUGGUGAAAUACUGCCGCUUAACGGUAGAAUUGCCAUUGAUACUGUUUUUCUUGAGUAUGGUUGAGGUAGGUGGAAUGUGUUGUGUAGCGGUGAAAUGCAUAGAUAUGACACAGAACGCCGAUUGCGAAGGCAGCUUACUAAGCCAUUACUGACGCUGAGGCACGAAAGCGUGGGGAUCGAACAGG